RNAcentral lists this ribosomal RNA (1422 nucleotides) under Leuconostoc citreum. RNAcentral describes it as "bacterial SSU rRNA". It matches the Rfam family "Bacterial small subunit ribosomal RNA". Lineage: Bacteria; Bacillati; Bacillota; Bacilli; Lactobacillales; Lactobacillaceae. The record is from RNAcentral.
GCAGUCGAACGCGCAGCGAAAGGUGCUUGCACCUUUCAAGCGAGUGGCGAACGGGUGAGUAACACGUGGAUAACCUACCUCAAGGCUGGGGAUAACAUUUGGAAACAGAUGCUAAUACCGAAUAAAACUUAGUAUCGCAUGAUACCAGGUUAAAAGGCGCUACGGCGUCACCUAGAGAUGGAUCCGCGGUGCAUUAGUUAGUUGGUGGGGUAAAGGCUUACCAAGACAAUGAUGCAUAGCCGAGUUGAGAGACUGAUCGGCCACAUUGGGACUGAGACACGGCCCAAACUCCUACGGGAGGCUGCAGUAGGGAAUCUUCCACAAUGGGCGCAAGCCUGAUGGAGCAACGCCGCGUGUGUGAUGAAGGCUUUCGGGUCGUAAAGCACUGUUGUAUGGGAAGAAAUGCUAGAAUAGGGAAUGAUUUUAGUUUGACGGUACCAUACCAGAAAGGGACGGCUAAAUACGUGCCAGCAGCCGCGGUAAUACGUAUGUCCCGAGCGUUAUCCGGAUUUAUUGGGCGUAAAGCGAGCGCAGACGGUUGAUUAAGUCUGAUGUGAAAGCCCGGAGCUCAACUCCGGAAUGGCAUUGGAAACUGGUUAACUUGAGUGUUGUAGAGGUAAGUGGAACUCCAUGUGUAGCGGUGGAAUGCGUAGAUAUAUGGAAGAACACCAGUGGCGAAGGCGGCUUACUGGACAACAACUGACGUUGAGGCUCGAAAGUGUGGGUAGCAAACAGGAUUAGAUACCCUGGUAGUCCACACCGUAAACGAUGAAUACUAGGUGUUAGGAGGUUUCCGCCUCUUAGUGCCGAAGCUAACGCAUUAAGUAUUCCGCCUGGGGAGUACGACCGCAAGGUUGAAACUCAAAGGAAUUGACGGGGACCCGCACAAGCGGUGGAGCAUGUGGUUUAAUUCGAAGCAACGCGAAGAACCUUACCAGGUCUUGACAUCCUUUGAAGCUUUUAGAGAUAGAAGUGUUCUCUUCGGAGACAAAGUGACAGGUGGUGCAUGGUCGUCGUCAGCUCGUGUCGUGAGAUGUUGGGUUAAGUCCCGCAACGAGCGCAACCCUUAUUGUUAGUUGCCAGCAUUCAGUUGGGCACUCUAGCGAGACUGCCGGUGACAAACCGGAGGAAGGCGGGGACGACGUCAGAUCAUCAUGCCCCUUAUGACCUGGGCUACACACGUGCUACAAUGGCGUAUACAACGAGUUGCCAACCUGCGAAGGUGAGCUAAUCUCUUAAAGUACGUCUCAGUUCGGACUGCAGUCUGCAACUCGACUGCACGAAGUCGGAAUCGCUAGUAAUCGCGGAUCAGCACGCCGCGGUGAAUACGUUCCCGGGUCUUGUACACACCGCCCGUCACACCAUGGGAGUUUGUAAUGCCCAAAGCCGGUGGCCUAACCUUCGGGAGGGAGCCGUCUAAGC